AGAGUUUGAUCCUGGCUCAGGACGAACGCUGGCGGCGUGCCUAACACAUGCAAGUCGAACGGAGAAUUUUAUUUCGGUAGAAUUCUUAGUGGCGAACGGGUGAGUAACGCGUAGGCAACCUACCCUUUAGACGGGGACAACAUUCCGAAAGGAGUGCUAAUACCGGAUAAGAUCAUCUUCCCGCAUGGGAGGGUGAAGAAAGAUGGCCUCUACAAGUAAGCUAUCGCUAAAGGAUGGGCCUGCGUCUGAUUAGCUAGUUGGUAGUGUAACGGACUACCAAGGCGAUGAUCAGUAGCCGGUCUGAGGGGAUGAACGGCCACAUUGGGACUGAGACACGGCCCAAACUCCUACGGGAGGCAGCAGUGGGGAAUCUUCCGCAAUGGACGAAAGUCUGACGGAGCAACGCCGCGUGAGUGAUGAAGGAUUUCGGGUUGUAAACCCCUUUUGCGGGGGACGAAACUGACGGUACCCCGCGAAGAAGCCUCGGCUAACUCCGUGCCAGCCGCCGCGGUAAUUC
This 517-nucleotide ribosomal RNA is filed under the name uncultured bacterium. RNAcentral's name for it is "bacterial SSU rRNA". It matches the Rfam family "Bacterial small subunit ribosomal RNA", at positions 8 to 526 of the family's 1533-position model. The record is from RNAcentral.